GAAACCACAUAAUUAUUAGGAACCAACAACGGUGCUCUUGAUUCUCACUGAAAAAUUACUUUAAGUCACAUGGGAAAUUUUUCUAAGAGCUUAAAAUCAGAGCCCUGCCCAGUCAACAACACUGUGAAUGUGUCCUGGCUAGGCUACAAAGGUAUUCAGAAAAUCUUGAAUUAGGACAGCAAAAAUGAAACAUAAGCAGUGUCAAAUCAAUACUGUGGAAGAUGGUGUGAGAAAAAGAACACAUGUAUAUGUAUGUAUGACUGGGUUACUAUGCUGUACCACAGAAAUUGACACAACACUAUAAAUCAACUAUACUCUAAUAAGGAAUUUUUAAUAAAAAAAAUUAAAAGCACUGAGAGUACCAAAAAACCCUACUGUGGGCAUUUUUAAAGUUAUUUGGCUUAAGUCGUCAUAUAAUCAGAAAUAAAGUAUCACUGCUGCUUUCAAAGGGACAGAGAGCAGAGUAAAGAUUUGCUCAGAGACAUAUAAGAACUUAAAAGUCAACAGGCACGGAUUGUGAGAUUACAUAUUCUAAGUAGGAAUCAGCUGCAGGCACUUCUGAAUCAUUUGUGUUUCUGAUCUUUUAGGAAUCAGCCUGUAGGCAAAGCAUAUGUUGAGGCUGCUGGUAGUGCCUAGAUGAGGGUGCAUGUACACGUGGGAGGGGUCUGAGCACCUCUCUGGAUGCCAACAACACCCCCCUCCCCGCCCCCAAGAGAAAGGAUGGUUAUCUUGGAGAAGAUAUUUGAUGUUGGUGUUGAAGAAAGUUCAGCAAUGGCUUGGCUAUGAAAUGAGAUGAAGAGUUCUGGAAGCCUGUGUAGAAAGGCUCAUAGAAGAAAGCAGGUGAGACUUUACUAAAAUACAUAAGGAGUAAUAUUUUUUUUUUCAAAAAGGGUAGUUCUGUAUAAUGUAAUUUUAGGGGGAGUCUGGGUGAAGGUUAUGUGGAACCUCUCUGUACUAUGUAGAUACUUGUGAGUCAAUAAUUAUUUCAAAAUAAAAAGUUAAAGCAAAUUUUAAAAGAUAAAACA
Molecule: long non-coding RNA, 1025 nt
Filed under: Sus scrofa (pig)
Lineage: Eukaryota; Metazoa; Chordata; Mammalia; Artiodactyla; Suidae
Description: lncRNA (ENSSSCG00025044308.1)
Source: RNAcentral